Long non-coding RNA from Gallus gallus (chicken), 3115 nucleotides. Lineage: Eukaryota; Metazoa; Chordata; Aves; Galliformes; Phasianidae. The record is from Ensembl.
GCAGCCCUGCAGCUGAUAAAAGGGACUUCUUGGGCUUUGCUUGUCUGAUUUUGUCACCAUGUAGUUGUGGAUGAGGCAGUUCUGGAGUAUCCAUUUUUCUCCGUUGGCCAGAAAGGGAGUUUCUUUCUUGCCCAGAUGAACGUGUCUGCAACUGACCCCUUGAAAUGCUUCAGGGACAAUAAUUAUAUGGCUACAAAGCAAAGAAGGAAUCCGGCUGACAGAAAGGGAGGGGCUGGUUGAGGUGGGAAUGAGAGCAUACAUGAAAUGAUUUGUCGUCUCUUUGUAAAUUGUAUGAGAACAACCCAAACAGGCCACUGCAGCUGAAGAAAGUGAAUUUCAAUGAUCUGAUAUCUUCCAGGCAAAAUCCCAUGGGAAGCGAUUCCGAGGAGAGGGGCUUAAAUAACAGACAACAGGAGCACAAGCGCUGGCCAUCCCAGAGCAAAGCGUGGGCUGGGAGUGCCAAAGGAGCCAAAGAGAAGUUCUUCAUUGGCUUCAGAUACAAGACAGAGCAUACAGAGAGUGACAACUGCUGCGGUACUCGGGGCUGCUGUGAAGGAGUCGUAUGGAAAGGGAAGGACCGCUUCACAGAAGGAGGGUGUAAUGAGGAAUAUCGAAGGUAGAAGGAACUGUAAGUAGUACGAGAUGGAUUGAGAAUUGGACCACUGCUUGGCAGAAAGGGGAAGGUACGGACAGGCAGGUCCCUGAGAAGUUGUGCACCCAUCCACAGCUGCUUUGAUUAUGAGCUCCCCACUGAGCUUCCUACUUUCUCUGUGCUGGUUUUUAUCAGGCCAGUUGGUUUCUUUCUUCUAAACACCCUGUUUGGCCUCUUUGAGCAUCAGUGCAUUUUUAUUCUCCAUAAAUCUGAUGAAGUUUCUGUUUAUCCCAAGGAUUGCUAUUGUUCUUUAAAUAAUAGCAAUGCAAGUAGGUUGGAGGUCUCCUCGGGCAGAGCCGUAGGACUGAUGGGUGCAGGCUGGCUGUGCCUGCUGGGCUCGAGUCUGGAUUGCUAAUGGUGGCUGUUCAGUAUCCACCUUAGUUCCCAAUGGGUUGGAAAGCGCUUUGUGAUGUGGCACACAUACACCAUUCCCCUAACGACGGAACCGAAGUAUUUCAUCAACACUUGCACGUUUUGACUCUGCAGUUUGCAGGUGCAAAGUUUCUCACUGAAUGGGAGAGUAUUUGUGGCAGGAACCAAGACUGGAAGGGCUGAGGCGGAUGGCUGAGCGCAGAGCCGAAAGGUGGUGAUGCUCACACAGCCCCGCGUGAAGGCGGGAUGCAAUUAGUGCAGAACGUCUGCUUCAAUAAAUCACCGCAAAAAGUGCUGCGCUCAGGGAAGACUGCUGUGGGACUGAUGGGGGCAGGAGAUGCCCCGGUCAGUGGUGUCCAUGUGAGUUGCAAGAAGGAAGGAAAGAACGGAGAACAGAGAUCGGAGACCAUCAACAGACGUUUCAGAUACUGACACCAACAGCACUUCUGAGAGCUGCGUGGCCUGAGGAGCAGUGUAAGAAGAUGGCUGGAAAUACGGCCUGCCUCCUGCUCCCACCUGAGGGUGGGCUGAGGAGGACACAAUGGGCUCUGUGGUUCCGAGAUGAGAGAGAAGAGUAGCAAAGGGGAUUAAUCAGGCUGAAGAAUCUGGCUGCAAGGCAUCCUGACGGUGACUGGAGCAGCCUGUGCUGCUGAACUGGUUCUUCUUCACUCAUCACAGCUUCAGGGGAGGUCUUGCAGGAAUCUAAGAACACUUCAGGAAAGAGCUGAACUCUGGGCUGGCUGCACAGAGCCCAGGGAGCUGAGACGACGGCAGGAAACCUACAGACCACAGCAGUGUUUGUAGUGCUCAGCCUCUGGACACAUCCUGGGGCUUCCUUAUGCCUCAAGGCUAGUUAACCACUUGAAUGAGGAGGGAGCUUUUCCUGCUUGCUCUUUAUUCUUUGGAUCCUCCCUGGACUCAGCCUGUGCUGGCAGCACUGUGAUGCCGCAGCAGCUUCAGGAACGCCUCUGACAGCCCCAGAGCUGCGAGGGAGCAGCUACUCUGCAUGCAAGGAGGAGCACUGCGUCUCCUGAGCCCUCACUUUAAGUCAUGCAAACGGUGUUUGGAUGUUUCUGAGCCUUGAAGUGCCUCCUGUCUCCCACCUCACAUCCUUCCUGACAGCUCCCUGCUCCUGUGCUGGAGGAUGUGUGCUGACAGAGGAAAAGUACUGUUGUCUUCCUGAGACCCUCCAAUAGGGAGAGCGGGUGUUGGGGAAUAGAUUUGCAGGGCAGAGGGCAGGGAACAGCUCCUGAAUGUGCCCCCACACCAUUCCGAAGAAGCCAGUACUGAGGGAUAGGGAAUUAGUUGGUUCCUUUUCACUCAUAGCCCUCACUGAGCAAUACCUGCAUGGGAUAUUACCACCCCACCAGCUCAAUGCAUCCUGGGGCACCUCCAUCUCCCGUGGGAGUGGGCUGGGCACGCUGGGCAUGAGCUGCUGCCACAAGAGUCUGCUCUGUGCCAGCAGCAAGCGGCCACCAUCUGCAGCAGGGAGGGAGGCACAGAGAGGGGAAGCGAGCUGCCAUUUCCCAUUGCCAUCGUGGUCAUGCAUUUAGUACUGCCAUAUGAGAUACCCUUUCCACUGGGAACUGUCGCCCUGGGGUGUGAGCUGUACAGUGCCUGCAUGGAGCCAGGGUGAGGAACUGCUGAGUCACGGCCUGAACCACUGAUGGAUCACCUGGGGAAAGGACCCGGUCAGCCCUGGGAGCACAGGUGAAGGCAAUUCAUGUUUGUGACCAGAAGGGGUGGAGCCUGACUGCACCUCUCUUAGACCUCAUUUCAGGGCUGACUGCCACUGGGGAAGGAUGGUGUUCUGGAGAUCCCUCCUUGGUGAAGCUUUGCCCUGUGAACCUGGAAUCUUCUGAUUCAGCCCACCCUUGGAUACCGACAGGCCGCUCUUCUCCUUGGAGAAGUUGGGAGUCCUGAACGCGUCCGACAAGGCUGCGUUCCGCCCCGCGUACCAACACCUUCGCCGGGUUCAGCCGUUAAUUACCCUGAAACGACGGAGGCUCUUUGCGGCGCUGGGCAGGCAUCUGCCGUGGGGACGGCGGUGGCCGAGGGGCAGCUCGGCGCGGUACCGCCCGGCCGGGGGGG